This 924-nucleotide long non-coding RNA is filed under the name Mytilus galloprovincialis (Mediterranean mussel). Lineage: Eukaryota; Metazoa; Mollusca; Bivalvia; Mytilida; Mytilidae. The record is from RNAcentral.
GGGGCAUCUGUGUACUGUGGACACAUUCUUGUUUUGUAAUCUAUUACAUUUUAAUUAUUAUUUUAAAGAGGUAUAAAAGGUAAAAAUUUCAUAAGUUUAAAUAUGUUAUUCUUAAUUACAGUUGGUAUAUUAUACUAAAUACACCAAAAAUUCUAUCAAAGAAAGACAACUGCACUCUUUUAGACAUUAUAAAGUUGAGUAUAUAAUUGUUUAGGUUAAAAAGUGGUAUUAAACAACAUUUUUAGGUACACUGAAAUAGCAAUGUUUUCAAGAAAUAUAAUACAAGGAGAGUGUAGGCAUCACAAAAAUCGGCACUAUCAUAAAUGUGUGCAUAUUUUAGUGACAGAAAAUUUGUUUUUAUUCUUAUGAGAACAGUAUUCAAAAUGAAGCAACCAAGAAUGUCCGUAGGAUUGGAUCCAUAAACUACUGUUUCUUUACAGAUAAUGUUUGUUAAGGUGGUACCCAACACUUUAACUAAAAUCAAUUUUGCUCGUUUAAUUUUUAUAAAAUUUUGACCAAGUAUUUACUUUGACCCUUUGACAAAAAUAUAAAAAUUUCAAAAAAUUUGAACCAACCGUUUUAUCAGAAAAUUAAACUGGUUAUGUAGCAGUUUGACAAACACUGAUUUUGAACAUUGAGAAGUUUGAUAUUCCCUUAACAACACAAUUGUAACGUAAGUAAAAUGUUUAGCCGAUUUUACAGAGUUAUCUCCCUGUAGUGUUAGGUACCAACUAUAUAAUCAGAAUAAACCAUUUGUGCAAUGCAAUUUCCAGUUCAUGCUUACUGCAACUUACUCUAAUAGUAAACAAAGCAAACCCAGACUAUGCCUCAAUUAACAGCAGAUUAUGAACAUAGCACUUAACCUAAACUGCACCCAAUAAGAUAUAAAUAUUACUGUAAAUUCAGAAAUUUUUAAGUGUGAUU